GGGACAACGCUGUCCUCGAAACGUCGGAGGUAAAUCUUAAAACUUAAAUACGCGAAUAAGUCCCGUUGUGCAGUUUGAUGUUUAAUGAUCGUGAAAGUUUAAAUCAGUGUAUUUCAGUUUUUUUUAUAAUCCAUAUUUUGUGUUAGUCUACUUAUAUUUAAGUAAACUUAAAAAAUCAUCAUAAUCAUCAUCAUUCUAGCCUUCAGUCGCCCACUGCCGAGCAUAGGCCUCUCUUCGUGCACGCCAUUUAUCCCGGUCCUGGAUGAGACUUAAAAAAUACAUGUUAGUAAAUAUGUGUGAAUAGAUAAUUAAAUUAGAAUGCUACGUUUCCCUACCCGUUACAAUACUGGGUUAUAACCGCGAAAAUCGAAGUUCGCAAAUUGCGGGGAUCUUUCUCUUUUACUCCAAUGACGGUGUAAUUAGAGUGACAAAGAAAAAUCCCCGCAAUUUGCCAAUUUCGGUUUUCGCGGUAGCCCCUCUGACCCAAUAUUUUAAUAUUGGACAGUCGAGGCGUCCAGCCACCAUCCUCAGGCUGUCGUUAUUAGUGUCUCUCACUCGUCGCAGCAAAGAGGCUACCCUCUUGCGUCUGAUGCCAUGGAAGCAAUAGCAUCGGUUGUAGUGUCGUGUGGAAAUCCGGCAUCAGAAAUAGCACCACCCCAUCUCGUCCCGUGGGUGUCGUAUAAGGCGACUAAGGGAAAACUGGCGACAGAUAGGUAUGUAUGUGUGUAUGUAUGUAUGUAAGUAUGUAUGUAUGUAUGUAUGUAUGUAUGUAUGUAUAUAUCAGAGCGAAAAAGAGGUGUGACCAAUGUUAUUGGUUGAUUACCUCUGUCUCCUAUCAUCUCUGCCUCAGUGGAACGGCAGCCUAAGCACCAUAAGGGCCAGGUAUAUAAGAACUGUAAAUAGUGUAUGUAAAUAAGAAGUUAGAUUAAACUUUAAUGUACGAAAUGUGGUAAAUGCACGCAACGCUUUUAGUGUGUUUAUUUCGAUUAAUAUACAAUAAAUACAUUUAAAUAAU
Long non-coding RNA from Cydia fagiglandana, 1015 nucleotides. RefSeq lists it as uncharacterized. The record is from RefSeq and is a predicted model, not a curated record. The transcript is spliced from 2 exons. NCBI's taxonomy places the organism in Eukaryota, Metazoa, Arthropoda, Insecta, Lepidoptera, Tortricidae.